AUAAAUACAAUCCCAUAAGGUUAUUAACACUUAUCUACAUCUCAACUAAAACCAAGUACACAGCUUCCCCUCUGACAACCCUUUGAAUUUAAGGUAGUGACUUCAAAACCUUAUUGGUUAAAGUUCCAAAAUCACUAGGAAGUCUCAAAAACACAUUACCAUUUUGAUGGGAUGAAUAUGAAACUAUAUAAGGUUGAAUUCUUCCAAACUUAUCAAUGAAAUGUAAUUUAGUUAUUAAAUCAAAUUCUAUUAAUAAUAUAAAAUACUGUAAAACAUGAGAUGAAUAGGAAAGACAGAAACCACCUCCAAUGAACUAGUUUAAUAAAAAGUUAGAAAAAAAAAAGAUGGUUCAAGCAUUUG
This 360-nucleotide long non-coding RNA is filed under the name Phaseolus vulgaris (common bean). RNAcentral's name for it is "long non-coding RNA (PVUL_LNC000987)". Lineage: Eukaryota; Viridiplantae; Streptophyta; Magnoliopsida; Fabales; Fabaceae. The record is from RNAcentral.